This 363-nucleotide transfer-messenger RNA is filed under the name Escherichia coli. RNAcentral describes it as "Standard tmRNA". It matches the Rfam family "transfer-messenger RNA". Rfam says of the family: Bacterial tmRNA, also known as 10Sa RNA or SsrA, is named for its dual tRNA and mRNA-like properties. Its role is to liberate the mRNA from a stalled ribosome. RNAcentral also lists the same sequence under 2 other names. Lineage: Bacteria; Pseudomonadati; Pseudomonadota; Gammaproteobacteria; Enterobacterales; Enterobacteriaceae. The record is from RNAcentral.
GGGGCUGAUUCUGGAUUCGACGGGAUUUGCGAAACCCAAGGUGCAUGCCGAGGGGCGGUUGGCCUCGUAAAAAGCCGCAAAAAAUAGUCGCAAACGACGAAAACUACGCUUUAGCAGCUUAAUAACCUGCUUAGAGCCCUCUCUCCCUAGCCUCCGCUCUUAGGACGGGGAGCAAGAGAGGUCAAACCCAAAAGAGAUCGCGUGGAAGCCCUGCCUGGGGUUGAAGCGUUAAAACUUAAUCAGGCUAGUUUGUUAGUGGCGUGUCCGUCCGCAGCUGGCAAGCGAAUGUAAAGACUGACUAAGCAUGUAGUACCGAGGAUGUAGGAAUUUCGGACGCGGGUUCAACUCCCGCCAGCUCCACCA